CCAAAACCAAACUCCUGAAUGAAUACUUCAUGUUUGUAUUCCACCAGUCCAAGGGUGUUAGCUUGCUUGACAGGAUACAAGAGAAUCAUGGAUGAGGAG
Molecule: long non-coding RNA, 99 nt
Organism: Gavialis gangeticus (Gharial)
Lineage: Eukaryota; Metazoa; Chordata; Crocodylia; Gavialidae
Exons: 3
Source: RefSeq, a predicted model, not a curated record